UGUGUUUAUGUGUCUACAUGUUGGACACUUUUCUAAAAAUGUAACUUUUGCAUAUAUAAAUUUUUUUAUUUUUCUUCCUUCUUCCUUCUUCCUAAAUAUAUAUAGAUAAAACUGAUCUAAAAUGUACUAAAUCAGAGAACAUAUAUAGAUAAAGCUAACCUAAAAUGUACCCAAAUAUACUAAAAAUCUAACUUUUAUAUGCACAGAGAACAU
Molecule: long non-coding RNA, 213 nt
Filed under: Hordeum vulgare
Lineage: Eukaryota; Viridiplantae; Streptophyta; Magnoliopsida; Poales; Poaceae
Description: long non-coding RNA (HVUL_LNC008685)
Source: RNAcentral